GAUGAAGAACGUAGCGAAAUGCGAUAAGUAAUGUGAAUUGCAGAAUUCAGUGAAUCAUCGAAUCUUUGAACGCACAUUGCGCCCGCCAGUAUUCUGGCGGGCAUGCCUGUUCGAGCGUCAUUUCAACCAUCAAGCCCCCGGCUUGUGUUGGGGACCUGCGGCUGCCGCAGGCCCUGAAAACCAGUGGCGGGCUCGCUAGUCACUCCGAGCGUAGUAAUACAUCUCGCUCAGGGCGUGCUGCGGGUUCCGGCCGUUAAAAGCCUUAUUUUACCCAAGGUUGACCUCGGAUCAGGUAGGAAGACCCGCUGAACUUAAGCAUAUCAAUAAGCGCAGGA
Molecule: unclassified non-coding RNA, 335 nt
Filed under: soil metagenome
Description: partial contains 5.8S ribosomal RNA, internal transcribed spacer 2, and large subunit ribosomal RNA
Rfam family: 5.8S ribosomal RNA (bases 1-120)
Source: RNAcentral